RNAcentral lists this long non-coding RNA (238 nucleotides) under Dermacentor andersoni. RNAcentral's name for it is "uncharacterized LOC126532417". The record is from RNAcentral. Lineage: Eukaryota; Metazoa; Arthropoda; Arachnida; Ixodida; Ixodidae.
UACAGCAUGAACAACAACAACACAAAGCCACUGAGGAUCAUGUUUCAUCAUUGGCCACCAUAUCAAACCGCCGUGUAUCAAGAUGGCAAGCUGUUCAUGGCAGGUGCUGGAGGAAAUGCACUCCGUGCUGUCGCCAGCAGCCUAAACUUUACAUACACGUUCAGACGUGCACGUGACUACGGUGUGCGCUUGUCGAAUGGCUCGUGGACUGGAAUGGUCGGCGCAGUACAAAGACGGG